RNAcentral lists this long non-coding RNA (18530 nucleotides) under Ananas comosus (pineapple). RNAcentral describes it as "long non-coding RNA (ACOM_LNC027112)". The record is from RNAcentral. Lineage: Eukaryota; Viridiplantae; Streptophyta; Magnoliopsida; Poales; Bromeliaceae.
UUUUUAAUUGUAAAUUCAAAUUUGAUAAGCCAAAAUUGAAUUUAAUUAAUGAUUUAAACUCAAAUUUUAAUUUUAAUUUAAAAAUUUAUAAAUAUAAAUUUAAAUUGUAUAAUUAAAUGUCUACUCUAAAUUUAAGAUGAAAUAAAAAUUCAAAUUAUAUAAUAUUAAAAUUUAAAUAUAUAUUAGAAAUUAAAUUUGAAUUUGAUUUUUGGUUGUAAUCAAUAAAAUAUUAAUAUAACAACUAUUACUCUAUAAUAUUGAGAUAAUUUAAAAAUAUUCAGUUAAAAAAAUGAAAUGAUAUAAAAAUAUUUAAUAAAAAAAAAUUUAUCCAUUAGAGAAGAAAAAGAAAUUUAUUACUUAUUUUAUUAAGUUACUUAUUUUACAGAAAAAAAGUGGAGUGUUACCAUAUAUAUUGCAUACCAUUUAUAUAUAUAUAAAUAUAUUAUAUGGAAGUAAUAUACAUAGUAACAUAUAUAAUAUAAAUGGUAGUUUAUAUAUUAUAUAUUGAUAACAGUAUUAAUAAGGUAUAUACGGCUGGGGCUACUAUACUCAUUGAGAUAGGAGCUCUUUGCUACUCAUAAGUUUGGGUCGACCGCUUCGAGAUGGGAAAAAUGUGUGGUUUCAAGGAUGAAGUGAUUAGGUUAGGUUGGGAUAGUAGGCCUCCUUAGGUUGAGGUGGGGUGGGUUGGUUGAAUAAUUAUAAUCUAACGGGGUGAAAAUGAUAAAGGGGUUAUGAUCUAACAAGCCAAAAACUUAUGAUACAAUAGGCCUCUAAUACUCAUACAGAGUAUAGUAGCGGACUCAUAAUAUACUAGCGGAUAUGUAUAUAUAUAUAAAUAUAAUAUAUAUACUAUAUACUAGUAGGUAGUAUAUAGUAUAUAGUAAUAUAUAUAUGAUAUGUAAUAUAUAUGGUAACAUGAAGAACCAAAACUUUUUUUCAGUAUAGAUAUAUAAUUACCUUGUAUGAUUUAUUGGAUCUUGGGUCCCUAACUUUUAGAAAUGUCGGUUACUAGUAUAUCAAUCGUACGGAAUUUGAAAUUUGAUAAUAAAUUGAAUUAAUUUUACAUUUUGCGGUGCAUCCAUUGCAUCCUAAAAAAUGUAUGUGACACAAUCUCUUACUGAACAAUUUCCUCACCUUUCACGGUAAAAAGUUUAAAAUGCAUCAGUUAUAUUGUUAAUGUGGCGUUCCUAGCCAAUCAGAUCUGUCUUCUUGGAUUCAUCUAUCCUAUUAUUGUUAUUAGAAAAAUAUAUGUAUUAUAAUUUUCUCUCAAAAUGAAAGAUAUGAUUCGUUGGAAAUAAAUGAUGCAGUAUAAGUAUUACAAUGUACACUUCCUCCUUAGACGGUGGUGGCUACUCAACCCUUUUCUGGUCUCCAUUUCAAAAUACCAUAAUAAAGAUUGCAAAAGCUAAUGGUGCCCUAUUUUGCACUAAUUAAGAACUUUUUGCCAACCUAAUUAUAAUCUGAAUGUUGAUUAUAUCAAUUCCUAUUUUAUGUUUCUUCCCAUAACCCAGUCUCUAGUGUGAGACCUUUUUACCAUUAAAUGAUGUUAUAAAGUAAAGAGCAAGGAAAAUACUUACCAUCAUUUGGUUCGGGAUUAAGUAAAAAUUUAUUAUUUCAGGGAUAGAAUUAAGUUUAGGAUUAAUGUGGGGUUAGAGUAAUUUUGUGUUUGGUUGAGAAUUGGGUUUAGUUCAGAUAUAGAUAAAAUAGUAUUUGAUUGGAGUAGGUGAGAUAAGAAGGAUAGUGAAUAAAAUACUGUUUUGUUUGAUUGGAGUAGUGGGGUAGGAUGGGAUUCCCACCCCUCAAAUUGGGUGUUUGGGAAUAACUUCGGGGUUAAGAGUUUAUUCCACCCCUUAACCUCGAACCAAAUGGGUGCUUAGUCUACAUCUUAUAUCUUAGGCUGCGUUUGGUUGGAGGGAUAUCCCAGAACAAGGCGGGAUAUCCCUCCAAACAAAAUGUAUUUUGGAACAACCGGGUUGUUCCCGGAACAACCCGUUAAGCCGGGAACAACCCGGUAAACUUGUUCUCCCUAAAAGGGAGAACAAGCCGGAACAAGAGUUUGGGCUUUUUUUUUUUCUUUUUUUUUUUUCUGCCUUUUAAUAUUUUAUACUUUUAUUAAAUUAUUUCAAAUAAAUUAAAGAUGCAUCAACUUUAAUAAAUAAUAUAUUAAUAAAUAAUUAGAUUUUAUGUAGGUAUAUUUUAUUACUUAAAUUAUUAUAAUAAUAUAAUUAUUAAAUUUGAUUAUAUUUUAUUUAUUAAGUUUUAUUCAUUUAAUAUUUAGUUAAUAUAUUAAUUAUUUAUUUUAUUAUUAAUUAUUAUAAUAAAAUUAUUUUUCAUUAUAUAUAUUAAUUUUAACUUGUAUGAAUUAUAUACUUCAAAUUUUUAUGAUAAUAAUUUAUACUUAAAUUUUAUUAUAUAAUAUAAAUAUUAAAUUUAUAAUUGGAUAUUAUUUUUUAUUAAAGUUAUAUUAUUUUAUAUAUUGAAUAUAAUUAAUUCUUUAUUUAUCAUUAAGUAUUAUAUACAUAAACAUUUUCAUAUUAUAGUAUAUGUAUAAUAUAUAUAUAUUAAUUGAAAUUGAAAUUUAUUAGCUAAAUUUUUAUGAUAAUAUAUUUAUACUUAAAUUUUAUUAUAUAAUAUAAAUUAAUUAAAUUUGAUAUAUUUUUUAUUUUAUUAAACUCUAUCAUUUAUACUUUAAUAUUUAAUUAUAUAUAUAUUUUUUAUUUGUAUUAAAAUUUAUACUAAUUAUUAAUUAAAAAUAUAGGGAUAUUGUUAGUAUUAUACUUUAUUCAUUAAUAUAUUAUGAAUAAAUUAUAGAAAAUAAAUUAUUACAUAAAAUAAAUUAUUAUAUAUAAUAAAAUAAUAUAUAUUAUUUUAAAUUAGAUUCUUACAUAAAAUAUUAUAUUAUAAAUUACUAUAUGAAAUAAUUUUAUAAAUAAUUUUAUAUAAAAUAUACUAAUAUAAAUUAAUUAUUUUAUUUUUAAAAAUAUAUUUAGACGUUGUUCUAGACUUUUUAUCCAAACGCUAUUAAGGAUAUCCUCUAGAAUAUCCUCGAAUGCAUCCAAACACAAAUUUACAAUUGUUCUAUCUUGUACCGGAAUAUUCCCUGUUCUCGGGAACAACAAAAGUUGUUCUCCAAAAUUUAGUUCUCCAACCAAACGCAGCCUUAGAGUCCACCAAAAAGAAUUUUGGAUUUUAGUAAAAGAGAAAAAUUGACAAAGCUAGAGAAAGAAUAUAGACUUUCAGCAAGUGAGUUUAUUUUUAUGGAAAGUGGAGAAAGAUUUAGCAGUUUUCGAUAAUAAAUAUUCGCUUACUUUGAUUGAUUCACUUGAAGCUCAAACUCUUCAAAUUAGUCUAAUCGACUUCGGCCUAUUUUAGAAUAAAAAUAUCACAAUUUUAGAUUUUACGUCAUUCAUUUUCUAUCAAAUAAAUAGUUAGAGAAGAACUUCAGUUUCGUAGCUAUACAAAUAAAUAGUAAAAAAAGAUAAUAUUUUUUAUAUAAAUUUUAAUUCAUUUGAAAAUAAACACCUCUUAGUGGAGGACGAUAAAUAGUAUUGCUCAUGGAAAAUUUUAUAUGUAAAGGGAUAAGUUGAUUUAUAAUUAAAAACAAUAUAUAAAUCAAAACAAUGCUAUAAAAUAAAAUAUAGGAAAUUUUCAAAAACCACUCCUGUGGUUUCACAUUUUCUUACUUAGUAUCCUAUGGUUUAAAGUGUAUCAAUUUAUUAGUGCCAUGUGAUUUUAUUUUUAUCUUUUUAUUAUCGAUUUCACUAAUUUUUUCUUUAAAUUAGUGACAAAAUUAAAAUUAAAAAGUACUAAAGUAAAUAUUCGAUAAAUCUAUGUGAGGUAUCUGAAGUUUUGAUAUAUAAUUUAACAAAAUAUUAACGAAUAUUAACGAAAAAGCUGACGAAAAGAUAAAAAUAAAAUCAUAGGGCACUAACUUGAUACACCUUAAAUCACAGAAUAUUAAAGUAAAAAAGUACGAAACUACAUAAAUGAUAUUCGAAGUUUAUCCUGAAAUAAAAUAAAAUAAAAUAAAAGCAUGGUGGGUGGAGAUGUAAUUAAUUUUGAAAUAUAAUAAUGGCUAUUCGUACCCGAAUAGCACCACAGUGCCGGAAAAGUUGCUCGCACAUGUUUUCCCAUGGCUUUUUGUCUAAUUAAUCACACUCUUAUUAAAUUAAUUUAAUAGUUUAAUAUUUUUAAUAUUUUUUUUUGUUGAUGUGAUUCUUGUUGAAUGAUGAUUUUUUAUUUUUUUUGUGGGUCUAAUCUUUCAUAAUAAUCCUUCGGGCCACGUGGUUGGUUGGUUGGUUGGUGAUGGGGGACAAUUGCGGCCCCCACAACCGAAGCUUAUAAAAAAAAUGGCAUGUUGUGAUUGGACUUGGAAUAGAGACGUCAAUUUGAUAAAAUGCCUGAAAUUCUGUGUGAUUUGAAGGAAUAAAUAUACCUUAUGCUAAACGAAUAUAAUUUUGAAUAUAAUUAUUAAAAACGAAAUCAGACGAAUUUAAAUUUGGAUAUAAAAUUUAUAUUCUAUCCGACUCGAACCUAAAAUUAUCUUAUAUCUGCAUUAUAUCUAUCUAUCUAUCUAUAUCUAUACAUUACUCUCUAUAAACUUGUCACACGACAACGUUCGCUUCAUUAUUGGAUAUGUCUCAAGUCUUUAAUAUAUUUUUCUUUUUCUUUGCUUGAAUCAGACCAAUCAUUAUUUAGUGUACGCUCUCCCGAAUCGACUCAAAUCCUCCAUAUAUUUUUUUCUUCCUUUCAUUGAAUCAAAUCGGGUUUUUCUCUUUUUUUGAUUGAGCCGAGUCGGACCACCCCUCUGCAUUGGACCGAAUUAUUUAUCUUCUAAAACUUCCUUCAUCGGCAAGAUGAAUUCCACCCCUUAUCGUCAUUUCUUUCAUCGCCGUUUUCUCUUCCUUUGUCGCCGUAUUUUAUUUUUUCCCUAAUUUUCUAUCCGUCGCAUCGCACGAAUUAUUACACUAGUUUUAUAUAAUAUAUAAUAUGAAUUGGGCUUGAAUACUAUUAAUAGUAUUUGAGCUAUUUUGCUAUCGAGUUUUUAACCUUUGGUGAAAAAUUGUAGAAUUAGGAUGAUAGUGGUCUCCUAGGGUUUAGUGGUAAUCCCCUAAGAUUGAGUGGGUGGUUAGCUAAAUAGUAUGAUCUAAAGAAUGAAAUUGAUUAAAGUGUAGAUCUGACAACUAAAAAAUCGAUAGUAGAGCCAAAAAAUUACUAAUAGUAUUCCAACUCAACUCUCUCUCUCUCUAUAUAUAUAUAUAUAUAGAUUUGAUGUUAUAUUUGAAUUUAUAUUUUAAAAUUUUAGAUUUAAUGUAUUAUAUUUUGAAAUGUUGUAAAAAAAAUAAUUGUUUUGGGUUUAGACUCGGGUUUGGGUUUUGAAUUUUUGAUUGAGUUUGGAUUUGGAUAUAGAUUUUUAAAAUACGUCAGAUUCAGAUUUGGGUUCGGAUUUCCGGUUCGGAGUCGGAUUUGCGUUCGGAUAUUUGAAAGAUCCACCCUGAAUCCGAUCUGUUGACAUUCCUAAUUUAGAAGGCGGAGAAUCUAAGUUUCUAACAGCAAUGUUAUCUGUAUAUCUCUAAUUGCUAGUUUGGAAGCAAUAUAAAAAAUAGUGUAAUUAAAAAAAAAAUGUUUGCUACUUAAUUUGGACCAUUUUAUUACGAUCGACUAUUUGGAUAUCUAUUCUAGAAUUUUAAAAUUCGUGGUUUAUAGUCCAAAAUAAAAUAUUUUUAUUGUAAAAUAAAAAAAAGUCCUAAUUCAAUAAAAAAGGAAUCAUAGCAAGUUGGUAAAACGUAGUAAUAUAGUGCCCAUCCAAAUAGUAUCUAAAUUGUGUAUUUUAAAAUAGAGUAAUGCCACAUUAUGAUAUUUUAGUACCAAAUUUUUUUAAAAAAAUACUAUACACAAUUUUCAAGAGUUCCCAAAUAGGCCCUAAAUAUGAUAUAAAUCUUACAUUUUUAUUCAUCCAAAAAUUAUUAUUUUUUCACUAGUUAUAUCAAAAAAUUUUUUUUCAAAGUAAUAAAAACCGAAGAUGAUUUUGAAAAUCUAUAUCCAAACCCGAACCCGAGCCCAAAUCCGAAAAUCCGAACCCGAAACAAUUAUUUCUCUUUUCAAUAUUUCAAAAUAUAUUACAUUAAACCUAAUUUUUAACAUCAAAUUUGUAUAUACAUAUUAAAUAUAAAUAUAAAAUAAAUUCGGGUUUGGGUCGAGUACAGUCAAAACCUGUAUCCAUCGGGUUUUUGUUCUGAUAUCUACAUCUGAAACCAUAUUCGUUUAGCAUCGGGUAAAUCCAUUUCAUUCGCGUUCAGAUUCAGAUAAAAUUUCGUGUAUCCGUACCCAUCGACAUCCCUAAAUGGGGGGUCAUCAUUCAGCCAUGUCUGAAUGGCUUGUGGACCAUCCCAGCAAGGGAUAGAGAGGACUGAUGUUGCACCACACUGGAUUGGGCCACAAACUGGCCCCUUUUUUUUUUUUGUUAUUUUUAUAAUAUUUCAAUUUUUUUAUAUUUUUUUGGUCAAAUUUUUUAUAUUAGUUUUAUAAAGAUUAUAUAGUUAUUACUUAAUAAACAAGUUUUAGAUAAUUUUCUAAAAUUUUUAAAAGUAAAAUAACUUAAAUCUAUACCUAUACAUUAUUUUCCCUAAAGUCUUGCCACGUGGCGGUACCUCCUUUAUCUUUACCAUCUCCUCUCUUUUCUAAUCACAAUUGUUGCAACCGCAUAAAACCUUUGAUCUUUCAAUUAAUUAAUGAACAAUUUUAAACCUACACUCUUCAUCUCCCCACCAAGUUACGAUCUUAAACCCACACUCUUCAUCUCCCCAACAAGGAGUUACUAACUUUAAUAAUUACAAUGAUCCACACAAUUAGCACCACUAAAACCCCAUCAUCAUCAUUUCUUCAUUCUCCGAAACCAAAUACCACACUCCAACAAUGUCCUAUGUUACAAACCAACUCUUCUUUCUAUUAUUCUUAUUAUUAUUCUCGAACGCGAGUACGAACCCGUCAACGCGAUUCGGGUCGAGCCAUGAUUGUUCGGGCGCGUUGUUUGGGUUCAGCGAAUGCUUGGAGUUUGUGAAGGGCGGGGCGAACGGGGCCGAAUCGGGAUUGUUGCUCUGGGCUCGAUCACGUGCUGAGCCGGAGCGUCACGUGCCUCUGCGAGGCCAUACGAGAAAGGGCAAGGCUAGGCGUACCUGUGAACGUCAAUAGUCCCCUGUUACAAAAGUAAGAGGUGUAUUUUUUUUAUGGUCCAAUUUCAUAUAAACAAAUUGCUUUCAUAAGAAAAAAUAAGUAAAAUAAGAUUUCUUCGUACUCCUUUUUUUUCAUUUUUUUUGGCGCAUAAGAAUGGUUCAUAUUUUGUUAUUUUUUUAAUUUUUGUUAUCUUUUUGUUGUUAAAUUGUAUGUGUACUGAAAUUAGGGUUUCGUGGAUUGUAGCGCAGCAUCGCGGGGGAAAGCGAAGAUAGAUUUGGAGUCAAUGAGAGGAAAGAAGUGGUAGGUUUGGAGAGAUCUGUAGGGAAUCAACGUGGCUGUGACGAAAAAGGAGCUCGACGUUGAUAAUGGCGGCAAAGGUAAUGUGGAGAUGGGGAUUCGUCUCCCCGAUGUCGGUAGUGCGAUCAAAAUGCGUAUGGAGUAAUAAUUCUAUUGCUGCUUAUUUUAUUAUUAUUUUUUAUAAUUUAUUUACUGAAAUUAUAAAUUUUGUUAUAUUUGUACGUAUAUCUGUUUCAUCUUUUUUAUUUGUAUAUAUGUUAAUAUAUAUUAUCUUUAUUUAUUAAUGUCUUAUGAUAAUUCAAAAAAUUUAAAAUUUUUAUUUUGUGAAUCUUCUGUCUUCUAUAGCAUCAGCCCGCCGCAAUGCGCGAGUAACUUCACUAGUUAUACAUCAAUUAUCCAAACAAACUUCCAGGCCAUAAUUGCUGCAGGCACUUUAUACUAUUCAAUCACACACUUUAUUACAUGAUAGAAUUUGUGUCGGCUGCACCACCCAACAUUUUUCCAUCUUUUAAGCUGUGGCUGCUGAUGGGCAAUGAUAACUGCAUUUGAUAUAUCUUAUAUUAUUGUGAACAUUUUGUACAUAGUAUAUUUUUUUUGGCUAAAUUAAAAAUUUUUUUUUAUAAAUAUUCAUUUUUUUAUUUUUUUUCUAACUUUCAAAAAUUUAUAUUUUACCCUCUUAAUAUUUCAAAUUGUUGCAUUUAGGCCCCUCAGUCAAGGUUCAGUUACUAUUCUGUUCAUUUCUUAUAAUUUAUAUAGAAAACACCAUUCACAAUGAUAAAAAUAUAUUAAAAAAUUAUUAUUUUUUUUUAUAAAAAAAGUAAAAGUAAUUUAGUCAUUUUGUCGUCUCCAUUAACACCGUACCACCCUAAAAAUAAUGAUAUUUGAUAUAUCUUAUAUUAUUGUGGUCAUUUUGUAUAUAGUAUAUAAGAUAUAUGAGCCGUGGCUACUGAUUGGCAAUGAUAACUGCAUUUGAUAUAUCUUAUAUUAUUGUAAAUAUAUUAUAUAUUUUUUUGGCUAAAUUACAGAAUUUUUAUUUUACAAAUAUUCAUUUUUUUUUUUACUUUCCCUCUUUAACUUUUAAAAGUUUAUAUUUUAACCCCCUCAAUAUUUCAAGUUGUUGUAUUUAGCAACCCUCAAGGCUUCAUUGCUAUUUUGUCUAUUUCUUAUAAUUCCUAUUAAAAAUAUCUUUAAAAAUGAUAAAAAUAUAUUAAAAAAUUAUUUUUUUAUAAAAAAAGUAAGGAUAAUAUGAUCAUUUUGCCCUCUCCGUUAACACUCUGAAAAUAAUUUCUGAAAUUUUAAGGGGGCAAAAUAUAGAAUUUUAAAAGUCAAGAAGAAAAACUAAAAAAAAAAAUCUAAUAUUUAUAAGGAGAUUUUCCAUAUUUUAGCUUUUUUUUUAGCUUUAUCAAGUAGAACACGCAAUUGAGCCAAAGUUGAUCCAGUUAUUUAAUUUGGGAACCAACUAAAAUUCUUCAAUACAAGGCUUCUAAAAAGCUUGGUAUAGAAAAAAGAUAGUAUUGUGAUCAUUUUUAUCCUUAAUACUAAUUUAUAUAAUUUAUUAUAUCGAUGAAAACACUUUUUGUUAUUGUCGUGAUUGGUUAGCUUGUAAACAAAAAAAAACCUCUAAAAGAAGCAACAAAAAAAAAAGAAAAAAACAUCUACAAUAAAAUAAAUAAGUUCUUUGAGCAUUUGAGACCAAAACUAAAAUUUAAAGGUCAAUGUUAGGGAUGCAAACGGAUCCGGGUUGGUGGAGCUCCCGCCCCGAUCCGUCCCGACGGGGUCAGUAAAUGGAAGAAAAUAAAUGAAUUCGGGGCAGGAAACGGAGUAAAUUUUACGAUCCGAGAAGGAUUUGGAGCAGGAAAUGAGAGAAAUUUUUACCUGCUCCGAAUCCGCCUCGCCACGAUCCACCCCAAAUCUGCCCCGAAAAUUAUUUAUAUUUUUUUAAAAAAUAUUCCUAAAAAAUAAUGUAUUUGUAAAAAAGUUCAAAAUACAAAUAAGUUAGUACUCUCAUUUCUAAUAUAUUUGAAACUUUUGAAUUUUUGUUUUGAAUUAUGAUUGAUAUUUUUUAUUUGUAUUAUUAAUAUUGUUAAAUUAUAUAUAUAAUAUUAUUAAAAAUUAUUAAUUUAUAUUUUACAAAAUAUUAAUAAUAUUAUAAUUUUAUAAAAAAUAUUAGUUGGCGGGGCGGAUUCGGGGCGCCAGCGGGAGGCGGGUUACGAGGCUGGGCGGAUUAUGCAAUGUAUUUUUUAACCCGUCACGAAUUCGGGGCGGGAGGCGGGGCGAGAUUUGCUAGUCGGGGUGGAAGGCGGGGCUGGGCUCCCGCCCCAGAUCUGUCCCGUUUGCAUUCCUAGUCAAUGUCUUUAUAAUAUAUUUGUUUAAUUAAUAUUGAAAAGUCUAGCUCAACCAAACUGGUCUUAUAGGCACACAACAUCAUUUGUAUAACAAUCGCCUGAGGGGGUGUUUGGUUGCACGUAAAGUUAUAAAAAUAUUUUAAAAAAUUUACACUUCAUGGCAUUUGGUUUUUUUGUAAAAAAAAAGAGUUUUCAAGAUGUGCCUGUUUGGUUUGUAGGAAAGAAAAUUCAAAUUGAGGAUAUAAAUACCUUCAACAAAAUAAGGUGAGGUUUCCAUUUUUCAAAAAAUACUUUUAAAAUAAUAGUAAAAUAUUUUUAUAACAUUUAUAAUGCAUAGUUUGCAUUAUUAUUAUAAUAUAUAAUUGGAUGAUAUAAUAAUAAUAUUUAUAAAAAUAUGUUAAUCUAAUUAUUAUGUUAUUAAAAUAAAUAAUUAGAAUAAUUUAACAAAAGUUUACGUAACCUUGUGAUAUCUUUAUAAGCCAUUUUUCCAAACAAAAUAUAACAAUUACAAAAAUAUAUACCAUUUAAUAACAUUAGAUUAUUUAAUGAAAUGAUAUAUUAUAUUGAGUCCGGUUACUAUACUAUCGAUAAUACCAAGCGCUUGGCGCUUUCGAGUUUUUCGCUGUUAGAUCUAUUUCUUUGACCAUUUUCACUUGUUAGAUCAUAUUAUUUAAUCAACCACUCACUCAACUCUAAGGGAUCACUAUCAUCCUAAUCGCACAAUCCUUUCAUCCAGUGCUUUGUACUAUUAAUAGUAUAAUAGCCUAAUUCAUAUUAUUAUAUGAAUAUUAUAGGUUAAAGGAUUAAAAGGAUACCAACCGUCCCUAGAGCAAGUGGCAAAGGGCUUGGUGGUUGGUAUCCGAGACCUAAGUUCGAAUCCUAGUUGAUUCACAUUUCCAGCUAAGUUUAUUUCUAAAUGAAAUAAACGAAGCGGAUAGCGUGCUAUCUAUCUCUUUAAAAAAAAAAAAAGAAGAUUAAAAGGAUAAUUCCCUGCACCUAGGGUAUGUUUGUUUGGGUGGAAGUGAGGUGGAAGUGGAGAAGGGGGAAGUCGUUUGCGGUAUAAACUAUCAUUUUUGUUGUUUGGUUCGCCGUAAAAUAGUUACGGCCGAAACUCGAGUUAACCGGAAACGGUGUAAUUGACUUCGGCCCAUGUCCAUCGUGGGCCGAAGUCAAUUACGCCGAAGGAAGGCAAAGAAAAAAUAAUAAAAUAAUAUACCAUAUAAAGAUAAUUAUAUUUAAAUAUAUUUAAUUAUGCUAUUAAUUACUCUUUUAUUUAGUUGGCAUAUUUAAGAUAUGAUCAAAAUUGAUUAGUUAAGUUUUAUAUUUUCUUUAUUUAGUUUGUACAAUUAAAAUAUGAUAGAAAUUGAUUAAUCAAGUAUUAAUAUUUUUUUACUUUAUAAUUUUAUUGUUGUAUUAUUAUGGUUUAUGUAUAAAAAAAUAAUUUAGAUGUUUUAAAUUAAAUUUUAAUUAUAUAAAAAUAUAAUUAUAUUAUUUUUAUUUAUUAAAUUAUUCAUUAUUUAUACAUAAGUUAUAUCAUACAUUUCCUAUCAAACAAACAGCGAAACUAAUAUAACUCCACUUUCAUAACUACGAAACAAACAACGGAAAAAAAGUGAUUUUUUUUUAACAUUAUCUCAACCCAAAGUCCAAUUUCGAUGAAACAAACAUGCUCUAGUGCGCCGUAUCAGCUGUACCUCUAGCUUUUGAUCCUCAUUUAAUCAUAAAAAAUUUAAAAAAAGAAUCAAUUAAAAAACAUUGUUUUUUUAAGUGGUGGAGAUUAAACAAUAAAAUAAAAUAGAAUAGAUAUGCGAUGCACAUGCAGUCUACGCGGUGCAUUUGGUGCAGGCAAGAAUUUGUCUGAAUGAAACGAAGGGGUGAGCGAAUACCAAAACUCACCAUUACGAGAUUUGGGCACAAAGUUUUCGUUUUCCAUAAAAAUCUAUGGAAAACGAGAACCCAACUUUUCACUAAAAUAUGUAAAAUCAUUUUACUUUGAAACAAAAUUUUACAUUAAACCAAACAUUGGAAAUGCCAUUUUCAAGGUAAAAAUAGUUUUCCACUAAAUUUUAUAUCAAACAAAUACACCCUUACUCCGACCGUCCCUUGCGCAAGUGGCAAAAAGAUUUGGUGGUUGGUAUCCAAGGCCCAAGUUCGAAUCCUAGUUGAUUCACAUUUUCAGCUAAGUUUAUUUCUAAACGAAAUAAACGAAGCGGGUAGCAUACUACCUUUCGCUCAAAAAAAACAAGUACACCCUUAUUUGAAACAGAAGUAGAAGAAGAAGAAGAGUGCUACUAUAUACAAGUCUCUAACCCACCGUUUGGUUCGGGGUUAAGUAAAAACUUGUUAUUGUAGAGAUAGAGUUAAGUUCAGGGUUAAGGUGGUGUUAGAGUAAUUUUGUGUUUGGUUGAGAAUUGGGUUUAGCCCAGAUAUAGAUAAAAUAGUGUUUGGUUGGAGUAGGUGGGAUAAGAAGGAUAGUGGGUAAAAUAAUAUUUUAUUUGGUUGGAGUAGUGGGGUGGGGUGGGGUUAGCUAACCCCACCCGGUGGAAUUAGUUAACCCCAGCCCCCAAAUUGGAUGUUUGGGAAUAACUUCGGGGUUAAAGGAUUAUUCCACCCCUUGACCCCAAACCAAACGUAAAAUUUACUCAUUUUAAUCGAUAUUGGUGCUUUGUUAAUAGAAAAAGCUUUAAGCUACCGUUUGGUUCGGGGUUAAGGAAAAACUAGUUAUUCCAGGAAUAGAAUUAAAGUUCAGGAUUAAGGUAGGAUUAGAGUAUUUUUGUAUUUGGUUGAGAAUUGGAGUUAGUCCAGGAUUAAAGAAAAUAAUGUUUGGUUGGAGUAGGUGGGAUAAGAAGGAUAGUGGAUAAAAUAGUGUUUUGUUUGGUUGGAGUAGUGGGGUGGGGUGGGGUUAGCUGGGGUUAGCUAAUCCCACUCCAAAUGGGCUAUCCCGGGUUAGCCUAUUUGGAAUGGGGUUAGCUAACCCCACCCCCCUAAAGUUAUGUUUGGGAAUAAAAUCAGUGUUAAGGGGUUAUCCCACCCCUUAACCUUGAACCAAACACAAGCUAAAUACCCUCCUGUGGUUUCGCACUUUCUCACUUUAGUACCCUAUGGUUUAAAAUAUAUCAAGUUAAUACCCCGUGGUUUCGCACUUUCUCACUUUAGUACCCUAUGGUUUAAAGUGUAUAAAGUUAGUACUCUUUGGUUUCACACUUUUUCACUUUAAUACCAUGUGGUUUAAUAUUUUGUUAAAUUAUAUAUUCCGAAAUAAAUAAUAAAAAAGGAAAUCGAAACCACAGGAUACUAACUUGAUACAAAAAUGAAACCACAGAGUACUAACUUGAUAAACUUGAAACCACAUGAUACUAAAGUGAGAAAGUGCGAAACUACAGGGUACUAACUUGAUACAUUUUAAACCACAAAAUACUAAAGUGAGAAAGUACGAAACCACAGAAGAGAUAUUUGAAGUUUCCCCUUGGUAAUAUAUUACUAUUUACAAAGAAUUAGAAAUAUCUCCUGCUCACAAGCAAAAUCCAAAUCCUCAAAUUCCGACUUCUCUUCUCUCCCUUUUUUCGACUCCUCUACUAUUUUUCUCCUUUUAUUUUUUUCUUCCUUUUUGAUUUUUUUCCCCCUUUCUCUAUUUUUAUUUUGUCAUUGCUGCCAACGGUGGAUUCUUUAUCACUCUCCACAGUAUUUUACUAUAAGAAAUAUAAAGAGAUAAAGGGGAAGGGAAAAAAAAGUAGGACAAAAGAAUGAAGGCCCUCAUUAUCUCUUUUCCUUUUUGGAUUUUUUUUUUUUUUUCCGGAUAAACUUCAAAUAUCAUCAUUGUAGUUUCACACUUUCUCGCUUUAGUGUCUUGCGAUUUUAUUUUUAUUUUUUCGUCAACUUUUUCGUUAAUAUUUCGUUAAAUUAUAUACAAAAGACUUCAUAUAUCUCACCUAGAUUUAUCGAAUAUUUAUUUUAGUACCCUUUAGUUUUAAUUUUAUUUUUUAGUGCAAUCAAUAAUAAAAAAAUAAAAAUAAAAUUAUAGAGCACUAAUUUAAUACACUUUAAAGCAUAUGCUAUUAAAGUAAAAAAAUAUCAAAUCAUAGAAAUGAUAUUUAAAAUUUUCCCUUUUCUUUCCCCUUACUCUCUUUUUCUCGAUUAGAUUUUUUUCCUCUCUCUCUCUCUCUCUCUCUCUCUCCUUUUUUUUUUUUUUUUUUUUGGGUUCUCGUCGCCUCUCCUNGAGCAAUCUCUCCACCACGUGCCGCCGCCACAUCGUCCCUUCUGUACCACACGUCACCGUCAUCGCCAUUCCUGUCGACGAUGGGUUCAUUGUCAAUUUUCACAAUAUUUUCACUCUAAGAAAUAUACAAAGAUGUGAAAAAAACAAUAAGAGUAGAAAAAAAAGAAGUAAAUAUUGCCAUUAGAAUUACCAAGUAGAGAGAGAAAAAAAGCAAGAGCCAAAAAUUUAUGUGGAGAAAGAGAGAGGGAGAGACUUUAGUGCAUGAGGGAGAGGGAUCGAGAAGUGAAAAUUUUCUGUAAGUAGAGAAAACGGAAAGAUGUAAUUAAGUACAUUCUUAUGUUAGUGAGUAAUGUAAAAGUGUAUUUAUCCAUGUGUGAGAGAGAGAGAGAGAAAACUAAAGUUUUAAGUGCCCGUCGGCACAUGCCGUAUUCACCGUGCCGUACCGUGCCAACAAGAUACCGACACGAUACAGACCCCGUACCGAGGACACAGCUAAAAACUCCUAUUCUUUAAAUUAGUAAAUAAUUUUUUCUAUAAAGUUUAAAAGAUGUGAUAAAAAGACAUGAUAAAUAGUUAAAAUAGUUUAUUGCUAAAGAAAAAUAAAUAUUUCAUGCUAUUAUGUGUUGGCAUAUAAGAUUUUUUUUUACCAGCACAUAUCGGCACGGCUUGGCACGCACCGUACUGUACCGUGCCGGUAAGUUUUCGGCACGAUCCCGUGCCACAGCACUUAAAUCCUUGGAGAAAACAUAUUCAUUCGAGAGAGAGAGAGAGAGAGAGAGAGAGAAAAGAAUAUAUAGAUAAAAAUCCUAUACUAAAAAAGUAUAUGAGAUUAUAGCAUUAUACCUACUAAUUGGCAUAAGACUUUCUAUGUAAUUUUUGAGAAAAUACUACUUCUAUACCACUUGCAGAGUCGUAUAUUUUACAUUCUUGAAUUUUAUGAUUAAGAAUUUUCUCAAAAAAAUUUUAUGAUUAAGAAAUUUGUUUUUUAAAGGGUUUAGUAAAAGAAAAAUAAAUUGAUAAGAGAACUGAGGUAUUGUAGACCACAGGAAGGCUAAGGUAUAUGGAUUAUCCUAUAUUGUGGAUAGCAUUGCUCAUAUUUUUUUUAUAUUGUUAAUUAUAUCAUUGGUUCUUAACCUUUGCAUUAUUUUUCACUUGGGUUCCCAAUCUUUUUUUUUGGCAAUUGAGUUCCUAAUUUCUUAAUUUAUUGCAAUUACAUCCCAGCGAUUAAAAAAGUUGUUAAAAUUAACGGAAUCGCUGCGUCAGUGCCUAUUUGGCUUCCUUUUGCAUGUCAAUUUCAGUCCCUAAACUUUGCAUGAUUUUCACUUGAGUCCCCAAAAAUAAAAAUUUUAAAUUUUAAAUUUAAAUUCAAAAUUAAUAUUAAAAUUAAAAUUAAAAUUUUAAACUAACUCGAAAUUAGAAUUUUGAAUUUGAAUUUAAACCUACAAUUUUGAUUUAAAGCUGAAUUAAAAUUCAAAUUUUAAAUUAAAUCUAAAUUUUCAAUUCAAACUUAAAAUUUUGAUUUUGAUAUUGAUAUUUCAAUUUGCAUUUAAAAUGAAAAUUUUGAAAAUAACAUUUAAAUUUAAAAUCUAAAUUUAAAUUUAAAGCCUAAAUUUAAAUUUAAAAUCAUAUUCAAAAUUUUGAUUUAAAAUUUAAAUUUGAAUUCAAAAUUUUACAUUUGAAUUUAAGAUUUGAUUUUAAUUCUAGAUUUGAAUUUAAACUGCAAAUUCAAAUUGGCAUUUUAAAUUUGAAAUUCCAAAUCAAAGUUUGAAAUUAAAUUAGAAUUAAAAUUUAAAAUAUGAAUUUGAAUUUAAAAUUAAAUACAAAAUUAGAAUUAGAAUUAGAAUUUAUAUUUGAAUCCAGAAUCAAAUUUAAAAUUUAAAAUUUAAAUCUUAAAUUUAAAAUCUUGAUUUGAAUUUAUAGUUUAUUUCAAAACAUAAUUUAAAUUUAUAAAAUAAAAUUUAAAUUUAAAUUGUAUGAUUAGUUGGUACUGACACAGCGCCUCAGCGGCACUGACACAGUGCCUCCAUAACGCUGACAUGUUGCUGACGUAGAACUUUUCGUUAAUUUUAAUACAUGUCUAACUGCUGGGACUUAAUUGUAAUGAAAUCAAGAGAUUAGAAACUUGAUUGCCAAAAAAAAUAGAUUGGAGACCAAAUUGAAAAGCAGUGCAAAGGUUGGGGACCAACGAUGUACAUACAUUUUUUCUCUAAAAAAAAAACCGAUGUACAUACAUUUUGCUCCAAAACGAACAAAGAUAUAUAUACUUCACAGUUUACAUUCCAUGCAAAUAAUAAUAUGAACCCUUUUCGGCCUAGCCCGCAUUAUUGGGCCAAACAUGCUUCAUAUUAAUUAUAAUAAUAACUAGUGUAGGAACCCGCACGAUGCGGCGGAUAUAAUCAUAUUUGAUUAAAUUUAAUAAUAUAAAAAUACUUUAAAACUUUUAGAAUAAAAUUANAAAAAAGGAAAAAUAGGGAGGAAAUAGAAGUUAGAGUGAUCUGUUAGGAGCCUACUUAUUUGCACGAUAAAUAAUUUGCACAAAUAAUAAUAAAACAAAGGAACAAUUGGUGAAUUAUUAUGAAAAAAAUAUAUAUACCAAGAAAAAACGUUGGAACAAAUAUAUAUAUAUAAAAAAAAGAAAUAGUGUUGCAUUAAAAUAGAGGGUAGUGUUAAUUAUUUUUUUUUUGCACUUCAUGUCCAUUGAUGAUAUUAUUCUUGGCUGCUGUAGUGAGGCGCAACCAUGUAAAACUUUAAGAGACUCACUGCAGGGGGCAGAAAUGGUAAAAAAAAAAGAAGAAAAAGUUAGAAAUCAAAGAUUGAGAGAGAAGAGAAAAAAAGCAAAGUGGUUUGUUUCAUCCCAGCAUGCAGUCGGAGUCGAGAUCUUCCGCCCCAGGUGCGGAAGCUUGGCCGCAUUUCUCACACUUCACGAACGGAAAAAGAAAUAGAGAACAAAAAGAAGUAAAUUCUCAACAGUAACCGUGAAAAAAAAGAGAGGCAAAUGAAGCUUCGCCGCAUUUCUCACACUUCACUUCGCCGCAUUUCUCACACUUCACGAACGGGAAAAGAAAUAGAGAACAAAAAGAAGUAAAUUCUCAACAGUAACCGUGAAAAAAAAGAGAGGCAAAUGAAGCUUCGCCGCAUUUCUCACACUUCACUUCGCCGCAUUUCUCACACUUCACGAACGGGAAAAGAAAUAGAGAACAAAAAGAAGUAAAUUCUCAACAGUAACCGUGAAAAAAAAGAGAGGCAAAUGAAGCUUCGCCGCAUUUCUCACACUUCACUUCGCCGCAUUUCUCACACUUCACGAACGGGAAAAGAAAUAGAGAACAAAAAGAAGUAAAUUCUCAACAGUAGUACGGAAAAGAGUACAGUCGGCACACCUUUCAAAACCGUAAAAAAAAAAAAAGAGAGGCAAAUAACAGUAAAGGGAAAAGGCAAGAGAGAAAAAAAAAGAAGUAAAGAAUGAAAGAACAGUAGGUAACAGCACAGUUGGUUGUUUGGUGCUCAUAUAAGUUCUUGUAUAAAAGGGAGUCGUCAUAAUUCAUAUCCAUGUAUUGAAAGUCGCAUUCUUCCUUAAGCCGCUUCAUAGCAAGACGUGCAGUCUCCUGUUCAGCGGCAGUAGCAGUUGGGAGCGGGGAACUCGAACAACGCACAGUUUGAAUGACAGUGCCACUGUGCGGAAUUUGGAGGUCUAUGUAUCCAACGAACUUGCCUUCGGUAUCAGGGGUCACUACAAUCUGAGGCACGCCGAGGCUGAGUUGAUCGUAAACCUCGCCAAGCAUCCUAACGUAAGAAAAGUGGAUAGCUGCCAUGGUUCAGACUGCAAGGAAGUUGUAAAACAUAGAAUGGUGGAGAUGUAAGUAAGACACUGCCGAGAAGUAAGGUGGGAGGUGGAGGAAGAAGGAAAAAAAGAAAGAAGAAACAUACAACUAACAAUGGAACCAGAUCAAGAGAAGAAGUAAAGCAGCAACAUCAAUUAGAGUAAAGAACACCACAGCAAGUGAAGACAAAUAUGUAAAGCAAAACAAAAUAGGCUAAAAAACAUGCAAGGUCAGUACACAGACAAUCUGGAAAGACAAUAUAGAAGAAGGGAAAUCGCUGAGGCUCAGGUUUAAAAGCAAGGGCGUGGCAUCUCUUUUUUUUUUGCAGCAUAAGUUUACAGCAGGUGGCAGAAUCUAACGAAGCCCACGGUAGUAAGCAACAACAGGAGCUGCAUUAGUAGGUGGUUGCCUUUAAGUAGGCCAUCCAACCUAGAGUGAACAGCCGACCAAUUAAUACCAAUUACACCCUCGAAAUCACACCAUGUAUAUUGAUGGAUGGUUGCGCAUGGGAAAGCCAUACUGCAUAGUGUAAACAGUUGCUUUCUAAUGCGCCAAACCACUACACGCUUCCUUUUUUUUUGGAAAGGCAUGGCAGGGAGUAAGAUAGCCGCAAGGUGUAAAUGUAAGAGAUAGUCAUCAUUGCCUCGUAAAGAAAAUAAAAAAAAGAAAGAACCAACAAAU